AGUGAACGCUGGCGGUAGGCCUAACACAUGCAAGUCGAACGGCAGCACAGUAAGAGCUUGCUCUUACGGGUGGCGAGUGGCGGACGGGUGAGGAAUACAUCGGAAUCUACUAUUUCGUGGGGGAUAACGUAGGGAAACUUACGCUAAUACCGCAUACGACCUACGGGUGAAAGCAGGGGAUCUUCGGACCUUGCGCGAUUGAAUGAGCCGAUGUCGGAUUAGCUAGUUGGCGGGGUAAAGGCCCACCAAGGCGACGAUCCGUAGCUGGUCUGAGAGGAUGAUCAGCCACACUGGAACUGAGACACGGUCCAGACUCCUACGGGAGGCAGCAGUGGGGAAUAUUGGACAAUGGGCGCAAGCCUGAUCCGGCCAUACCGCGUGGGUGAAGAAGGCCUUCGGGUUGUAAAGCCCUUUUGUUGGGAAAGAAAAGCAGCAGGUUAAUACCCCGCUGUUCUGACGGUACCCAAAGAAUAAGCACCGGCUAACCUCGUG
RNAcentral lists this ribosomal RNA (492 nucleotides) under uncultured bacterium. RNAcentral describes it as "partial 16S ribosomal RNA". It matches the Rfam family "Bacterial small subunit ribosomal RNA", at positions 29 to 507 of the family's 1533-position model. The record is from RNAcentral.